CAGUAGCCGCGGUAAUACGUAGGUGGCAAGCGUUGUCCGGAAUUAUUGGGCGUAAAGGGCUCGCAGGCGGUUUCUUAAGUCUGAUGUGAAAGCCCCCGGCUCAACCGGGGAGGGUCAUUGGAACCUGGGAAACUUGAGUGCAGAAGAGGAGAGUGGAAUUCCACGUGUAGCGGUGAAAUGCGUAGAGAUGUGGAGGAACACCAGUGGCGAAGGCGACUCUCUGGUCUGUAACUGACGCUGAGGAGCGAAAGCGUGGGGAGCGAACAGGAUUAGAUACCCCAGUAGUCCCUGUCUCUUAUAC
This 301-nucleotide ribosomal RNA is filed under the name uncultured bacterium. RNAcentral describes it as "partial 16S ribosomal RNA". It matches the Rfam family "Bacterial small subunit ribosomal RNA", at positions 509 to 807 of the family's 1533-position model. The record is from RNAcentral.